Molecule: ribosomal RNA, 485 nt
Filed under: uncultured bacterium
Lineage: Bacteria
Description: bacterial SSU rRNA
Rfam family: Bacterial small subunit ribosomal RNA
Source: RNAcentral
AUUGAACGCUGGCGGCAGGCCUAACACAUGCAAGUCGAGCGGUAGAGAGAAGCUUGCUUCUCUUGAGAGCGGCGGACGGGUGAGUAAUGCCUAGGAAUCUGCCUGGUAGUGGGGGAUAACGUUCGGAAACGGACGCUAAUACCGCAUACGUCCUACGGGAGAAAGCAGGGGACCUUCGGGCCUUGCGCUAUCAGAUGAGCCUAGGUCGGAUUAGCUAGUUGGUGAGGUAAUGGCUCACCAAGGCAACGAUCCGUAACUGGUCUGAGAGGAUGAUCAGUCACACUGGAACUGAGACACGGUCCAGACUCCUACGGGAGGCAGCAGUGGGGAAUAUUGGACAAUGGGCGAAAGCCUGAUCCAGCCAUGCCGCGUGUGUGAAGAAGGUCUUCGGAUUGUAAAGCACUUUAAGUUGGGAGGAAGGGCAUUAACCUAAUACGUUAGUGUUUUGACGUUACCGACAGAAUAAGCACCGACUAACUCUGUGC